RNAcentral lists this ribosomal RNA (364 nucleotides) under Prorhinotermes sp. 1 EJ-2021a. RNAcentral's name for it is "partial large subunit ribosomal RNA". Lineage: Eukaryota; Metazoa; Arthropoda; Insecta; Blattodea; Rhinotermitidae. The record is from RNAcentral.
UGUUUAUCAAAAACAUCUUUUCUUGAUAGUUUUUGAAGUAUAGCCUGCCCGCUGAUUUGGUUUGAAGGGCCGCGGUAUUCUGACCGUGCAAAGGUAGCAUAAUCAUUAGUUCUUUAAUUGUGAUCUGGAAUGAAUGGCUGGACGAGACACUAGCUGUCUUAUUUUGAAUUGGGUUGUUGAAUUUGGUCUUUGAGUUAAAAUUCUUAAAUGUUUUUAUGGGACGAGAAGACCCUAUAGAGUUUUACAUCAGGUUUGGGUUGAUAAUGUUUGUUGUUUUGUGUUUAUUUGGCUUGAUGUUUUGUUGGGGCGAUGGGAGGAAUUUAUUUAACUCUUCUUGUUAAGUUGGUAUAUUGAUUUGUACUUG